UACGUAGGGAGCAAGCGUUGUCCGGAAUCAUUGGGCGUAAAGCGCGCGUAGGUGGCUUCGUAAGUCCGUUGUGAAAGUCAAAGGCUCAACCUUUGAAUGCCGAUGGAUACUGCGGAGCUAGAGUACGGAAGAGGCGAGUGGAAUUCCUGGUGUAGCGGUGGAAUGCGCAGAUAUCAGGAGGAACACCAAUAGCGAAGGCAGCUCGCUGGAACGUUACUGACACUAAGGCGCGAAAGCGUGGGGAGCGAACAGG
Molecule: ribosomal RNA, 253 nt
Filed under: uncultured bacterium
Lineage: Bacteria
Description: partial 16S ribosomal RNA
Rfam family: Bacterial small subunit ribosomal RNA
Source: RNAcentral